RNAcentral lists this ribosomal RNA (429 nucleotides) under Pseudomonadota bacterium. RNAcentral's name for it is "Proteobacteria bacterium partial 16S ribosomal RNA". It matches the Rfam family "Bacterial small subunit ribosomal RNA", at positions 355 to 776 of the family's 1533-position model. The record is from RNAcentral. Lineage: Bacteria; Pseudomonadati; Pseudomonadota.
UGGGGAAUAUUGGACAAUGGGCGAAAGCCUGAUCCAGCCAUGCCGCGUGUGUGAAGAAGGUCUUCGGAUUGUAAAGCACUUUAAGUUGGGAGGAAGGGCAGUAAGCGAAUACCUUGCUGUUUUGACGUUACCGACAGAAUAAGCACCGGCUAACUCUGUGCCAGCAGCCGCGGUAAUACAGAGGGUGCAAGCGUUAAUCGGAAUUACUGGGCGUAAAGCGCGCGUAGGUGGUUCGUUAAGUUGAAUGUGAAAGCCCCGGGCUCAACCUGGGAACUGCAUCCAAAACUGGCGGGCUAGAGUAGGGCAGAGGGUGGUGGAAUUUCCUGUGUAGCGGUGAAAUGCGUAGAUAUAGGAAGGAACACCAGUGGCGAAGGCGACCACCUGGGCUCAUACUGACACUGAGGUGCGAAAGCGUAGGGAGCAAACAGG